GAGUUUGAUCNUGGCUCAGGAUGAACGCUGGCGGCGUGCUUAAUACAUGCAAGUCGAACGCAAAACCUUCGGGUUNUGAGUGGCGGACGGGUGAGUAACACGUGGGUAACCUGCCCAUCAGCCUGGGAUAACCACCGGAAACGGUGGCUAAUACCGGAUAUGUCUUNGGAUGAAAGUCGGAUUUAUCUGACANUGANGGAUGGACCUGCGGCGCAUUAGCUAGUUGGUGAGAUAGUGGCUCACCAAGGCGACGAUGNGUAGCCGACCUGAGAGGGUGAUCGGCCACACUGGGANUGAGACACGGCCCAGACUCCUACGGGACGCAGCAGA
RNAcentral lists this ribosomal RNA (330 nucleotides) under uncultured bacterium. RNAcentral describes it as "partial 16S ribosomal RNA". It matches the Rfam family "Bacterial small subunit ribosomal RNA", at positions 9 to 355 of the family's 1533-position model. The record is from RNAcentral.